This 211-nucleotide long non-coding RNA is filed under the name Lathyrus oleraceus (garden pea). Its description in RNAcentral is "Pisum sativum (pea) long non-coding RNA (PSAT_LNC026130)". Lineage: Eukaryota; Viridiplantae; Streptophyta; Magnoliopsida; Fabales; Fabaceae. The record is from RNAcentral.
UUAGAUCUUUAAUGGAGGCGCAUCGAAUAAGGUUUGAAGACACUCCUUUUGCUGUGAAAAGGGCAUCCUUAUUAUAGUAUGUGUUUUUUUCCUUGAUUUUUGGAUUUUUUCUUCAUGUUUUCCCAUAAAUAUUUUCUUGAACUAUGAUAACUCCUAUUUAUAUGAGUUGUUUAGGUUCUAAAUAUUUAAAUUUAUGAACUAUAAAUUAUGU